ACUACAGUCGAUCCUGAAGUCCCAAACCAAGAAAAUGACGAUCGUCGAGUCCUCAUUCUAGGCAGGACUCAAGGCCUAGUCGGCGAUCUCCCUAUAAUGUUCUGAAAAUCAUACUGCUGCUAACAUCGACCGUAAAUUUCAAGAGAUAUAUGAGCAGAUUGAUGUGAUUUGUCACUAAGCAUCGACUUUCGAUGAUGGAUAUAACACUAAUCCACCAUUCAGUAACCAGAU
RNAcentral lists this long non-coding RNA (231 nucleotides) under Elaeis guineensis (African oil palm). RNAcentral's name for it is "long non-coding RNA (EGUI_LNC047547)". Lineage: Eukaryota; Viridiplantae; Streptophyta; Magnoliopsida; Arecales; Arecaceae. The record is from RNAcentral.